AUACGGAGGAUCCGAGCGUUAUCCGGAUUUAUUGGGUUUAAAGGGUACGUAGGCGGGAUGAUAAGUCAGCGGUGAAAUUUUGCAGCUUAACUGUAAGCUUGCCGUUGAAACUAUUAUUCUUGAGUGUAGAUAAGGUAGGCGGAAUGUGUUGUGUAGCGGUGAAAUGCUUAGAUAUAACACAGAACACCAAUUGCGAAGGCAGCUUACCGGGUUACCACUGACGCUGAGGUACGACAGCGUGGGGAUCAAACAGGAUUAGAUAUCCUGGUAGUCCACGCCGUAAACGAUGAAUACUCGCUGUUUGCGAUAUACCGCAAGCGGCCAAGCGAAAGCAUUAAGUAUUCCACCUGGGGAGUACGUUCGCAAGAAUGAAACUCAAAUGAAUUGACGGGG
RNAcentral lists this ribosomal RNA (393 nucleotides) under uncultured bacterium. RNAcentral's name for it is "partial 16S ribosomal RNA". It matches the Rfam family "Bacterial small subunit ribosomal RNA", at positions 523 to 918 of the family's 1533-position model. The record is from RNAcentral.